This 102-nucleotide non-coding RNA is filed under the name Candidatus Accumulibacter. RNAcentral describes it as "Glycine sequence". It matches the Rfam family "Glycine riboswitch aptamer", at positions 9 to 86 of the family's 94-position model. From Rfam's summary of the family: This family represents the bacterial glycine riboswitch. Glycine riboswitches usually consist of two metabolite-binding aptamers domains with similar structures in tandem. The record is from RNAcentral. Lineage: Bacteria; Pseudomonadati; Pseudomonadota; Betaproteobacteria. RNAcentral also lists the same sequence under 1 other name.
CUCUGGAGAGCGGCGCCCGCUUUGCGAGGCGCCCACCGAUGGGGCCAGGACGACCGUGCUGCACCGUGUCGGCCAGACAAUCUCUCAGGUACAUGGACAGAG